Alligator sinensis (Chinese alligator) is the source of this 465-nucleotide non-coding RNA. Lineage: Eukaryota; Metazoa; Chordata; Crocodylia; Alligatoridae. The record is from the annotation of a RefSeq genome assembly.
CAGGACAUGGAGCUGGUUGUGAUUCCCACCAUGGCCUGGGCCCCGCUCCUUCUCGCUCUGCUCACAUGCUGCUCAGUUCCAGGUUCUCUUGCCCAGUACGUGCUGACUCAGCCGCCUGCAGCGUCCGUCUCCCCGGGACAGACUGCCCGGCUCACCUGCACAGGGACCAGUUUUAGGAGCUACUAUGUACAGUGGUUCCAGCAGAAACCCGGCAGUGCCCCCCUGCAGCUGAUCUAUCAGGACAGCAAGAGACCCUCCGGCAUCCCUGACCGAUUCUCUGGUGCCAAAUCUGGUGACACGGCCACGUUGACCAUCACUGGAGUCCAGGCCCAGGAUGAGGCUGAUUAUUACUGCCAGGUGUGGGAUAGCAGCAGCAGUCAGUACCACAGUGACACAGACCAGGAGCAGGAUAUCAGCACUGUCCUCAGGAACUUCUUCCAAGCCCUUCGGUCAUGGAAGAGCUGA